UACGGGGGGGGCGAGCGUUGUUCGGAAUCACUGGGCGUAAAGGGCGCGUAGGCGGCCCGCACAAGUCUGCGGUGAAAACCCCCGGCUUAACCGGGGGCCGGCCGUGGAAACUGUCGGGCUGGAGGCUGGGAGAGGGCAGCGGAAUUCCCGGUGUAGCGGUGAAAUGCGUAGAGAUCGGCAGGAACACCCAGGGGGAAACCAGCGGACUGGGCAUCAGCUGACGCUCAGGUGCGACAGCGUGGGGAGCGAACCGG
This 254-nucleotide ribosomal RNA is filed under the name uncultured bacterium. RNAcentral's name for it is "partial 16S ribosomal RNA". It matches the Rfam family "Bacterial small subunit ribosomal RNA", at positions 524 to 776 of the family's 1533-position model. The record is from RNAcentral.